Molecule: transfer RNA, 36 nt
Filed under: Blaesodactylus boivini
Lineage: Eukaryota; Metazoa; Chordata; Lepidosauria; Squamata; Gekkonidae
Description: partial tRNA-Tyr
Source: RNAcentral
UUGUAGCCUCGCAGACGGAGGAGCAGCCCUCCCACU